AAGGUGAGCCCUAGAGUACUAAAUCCCUCUCCUAAAUCCUAAUCGCUGCUCCUGCCUCCUGCUCACGAGUCACGCACGCGAACUCAUCUCUCUCUCUCUCUUGCCGCCGCUGCCGUCGCCGUCGCCGUCGCCCGCAACAUCCAAGCAGCUGCCGUCGUCGUCCGCAGCACUAGAGCAGAGCGCCCUCCAGCCGCACCAGCAGCUGCCGCACGACAAGCUCCCUCUCCCUCUCUGUCUCUCCGAGAAAUCGCGACCUAAUUCAUAAUCACAACAACCGCCUUCCGUCUCUUUCUGCGCUGCCCGCGGCUGUCUAUCUCGUUGAAGCUAUCUGUGCGGCGUGGAGUGUUGCAGUCUUACAGCCUUUUGCUUCUUAUUUUGUAUAAGAACAAUAUCCGCAAAUCAUGUCGCGAGUUUGUGUGAAAAACUUGCCCAAGUAUGUAGUGGAGGACCAUCUGAGAGAAUUCUUCUCCCAGAAAGGGGAAGUGACAGAUGCCAAGCUUAUGCGCACCAAGGAUGGGAAGAGUCGGCAAUUUGGGUUUGUGGGUUAUAGGACGGAGCAUGAAGCUGAGGAAGCCAUUAAGUAUUUCAACAAAUCUUUCAUGCAUACUUCCAGAAUUAU
Long non-coding RNA from Salvia miltiorrhiza (redroot sage), 619 nucleotides. RefSeq lists it as uncharacterized. The record is from RefSeq and is a predicted model, not a curated record. The transcript has 4 exons. NCBI's taxonomy places the organism in Eukaryota, Viridiplantae, Streptophyta, Magnoliopsida, Lamiales, Lamiaceae.